Molecule: unclassified non-coding RNA, 265 nt
Filed under: Hevea brasiliensis (rubber tree)
Lineage: Eukaryota; Viridiplantae; Streptophyta; Magnoliopsida; Malpighiales; Euphorbiaceae
Source: RNAcentral
AUCAAGGUCUGUGCUCUCAUUUUCGUAUCUGUGGUUACGGCCGUGUUAGUGUAUUUGUUUUCCAGCGGAUGCGUUGAACGAGCGUGUUUGAGUAGGGAAUGAUCAUUAAUUUCAGGAUCCUAGAGAAACUUGCAUAUAUUAUGCCGUCAGAAGUAGGUUCAAGCACUCUGCGUCCCAUUAUACGAAUAUCAAUUUGUCUGGCAGAACAUUAGACAGGGAUCAAGAAGGGAAAAUACAGCAUACGCUCCAAAAAAGAGAAUGGUCG